RNAcentral lists this ribosomal RNA (676 nucleotides) under uncultured Pseudomonas sp. RNAcentral's name for it is "bacterial SSU rRNA". It matches the Rfam family "Bacterial small subunit ribosomal RNA", at positions 61 to 732 of the family's 1533-position model. Lineage: Bacteria; Pseudomonadati; Pseudomonadota; Gammaproteobacteria; Pseudomonadales; Pseudomonadaceae. The record is from RNAcentral.
GUCGAGCGGAUGAAGAGAGCUUGCUCUCUGAUUCAGCGGCGGACGGGUGAGUAAUGCCUAGGAAUCUGCCUGGUAGUGGGGGACAACGUCUCGAAAGGGACGCUAAUACCGCAUACGUCCUACGGGAGAAAGCAGGGGACCUUCGGGCCUUGCGCUAUCAGAUGAGCCUAGGUCGGGUUAGCUAGUUGGUGAGGUAAUGGCUCACCAAGGCGACGAUCCGUAACUGGUCUGAGAGGAUGAUCAGUCACACUGGAACUGAGACACGGUCCAGACUCCUACGGGAGGCAGCAGUGGGGAAUAUUGGACAAUGGGCGAAAGCCUGAUCCAGCCAUGCCGCGUGUGUGAAGAAGGUCUUCGGAUUGUAAAGCACUUUAAGUUGGGAGGAAGGGCAGUAAGCGAAUACCUUGCUGUUUUGACGUUACCGACAGAAUAAGCACCGGCUAACUCUGUGCCAGCAGCCGCGGUAAUACAGAGGGUGCAAGCGUUAAUCGGAAUUACUGGGCGUAAAGCGCGCGUAGGUGGUUUGUUAAGUUGAAUGUGAAAUCCCCGGGCUCAACCUGGGAACUGCAUCCAAAACUGGCAUGCUAGAGUAGGGCAGAGGGUGGUGGAAUUUCCUGUGUAGCGGUGAAAUGCGUAGAUAUAGGAAGGAACACCAGUGGCGAAGGCGACCACCUGG